This is a long non-coding RNA of Passer domesticus (house sparrow), 258 nucleotides long. RefSeq lists it as uncharacterized. The transcript is spliced from 2 exons. NCBI's taxonomy places the organism in Eukaryota, Metazoa, Chordata, Aves, Passeriformes, Passeridae. The record is from RefSeq and is a predicted model, not a curated record.
GGGAGGUUUAGGUUUAGGAAAAGAUUUUACAUUCACAGGAUGGUUGGGCACUGGAACAGCUCCUCAGGGAAGUGGUCACAGCAUCAGCCUGACAGAGUUCAAGAAGCAUUUGCACAAUGCUCUUGGGCAAAUGGUGUGACUCAUGGGGAUGGUUCUGUGCAGGCUCCACAGCAAUCCCAUUACAAAAACCUGCAGAAUGUAGCAAGCCCUUGAUCAACAUGGAGUUAAAAAUGGCAGAAUAAACUAGCUUUAAUUGGG